ACCAAGUGAGAGAAAUGCAGAUAGCAGGUGCAAUGCUGACCUGCUUUAUACAAGCUUUUCAAUUUCGAAAUUUGAUGAGUUUGCAAUUUGCUGCGAUGCAUGUUCAGUUGUUAGAUUAGUGUUGUACUGUGGUAGGCUGAGGACCAUAAUUUGUAACUUGUACCAGAAGUCGACAAGUUGGGUUCCUCAGCCUACCACAGUACAACACUAAU
Molecule: unclassified non-coding RNA, 212 nt
Filed under: Hevea brasiliensis (rubber tree)
Lineage: Eukaryota; Viridiplantae; Streptophyta; Magnoliopsida; Malpighiales; Euphorbiaceae
Source: RNAcentral